RNAcentral lists this ribosomal RNA (396 nucleotides) under uncultured bacterium. Its description in RNAcentral is "bacterial SSU rRNA". It matches the Rfam family "Bacterial small subunit ribosomal RNA", at positions 28 to 429 of the family's 1533-position model. The record is from RNAcentral.
GACGAACGCUGGCGGCGUGCUUAACACAUGCAAGUCGAGCGGUAAGGCCCUUUCGGGGGUACACGAGCGGCGAACGGGUGAGUAACACGUGGGUGACCUGCCCUCAGCUCUGGGAUAAGCCUGGGAAACCGGGUCUAAUACCGGAUAUGACUCCAUGACGCAUGUUGUGGGGUGGAAAGCCUUGUGCGGCUGAGGAUGGGCCCGCGGCCUAUCAGCUUGUUGGUGGGGUGAUGGCCUACCAAGGCGACGACGGGUAGCCGGCCUGAGAGGGCGACCGGCCACACUGGGACUGAGACACGGCCCAGACUCCUACGGGAGGCAGCAGUGGGGAAUCUUGCGCAAUGGGCGAAAGCCUGACGCAGCGACGCCGCGUGAGGGAUGACGGCCUGGUGUAAG